Non-coding RNA from Lepisosteus oculatus (spotted gar), 5648 nucleotides. NCBI's taxonomy places the organism in Eukaryota, Metazoa, Chordata, Actinopteri, Semionotiformes, Lepisosteidae. The record is from RefSeq and is a predicted model, not a curated record.
UUUAUCCUCGUUUCAGGGCAGGUACAAAUUGUGCUUAAAACUACAUUUAUAUUGCAACGGGUAUUCCAAGUAACUGUUAAUAUAACGAGUGUUAUUUCUGCCUUAAUCCUUGGGAGUAUCUACUCUUAUUUGUAACAAUAGCGGAACAAGUUUCCUGCACGGAAGUUCAGCAGAGGCUCGCUCCAGGCGAUGUCAGCCUGUCUCUCUCUCCUCUCUCUGUCUCUCCCGGCAGGACUCGAUCCAGGCGAUGUCAGCCUGUCUCUCCCUGCAGGGCUCGCUCCAGGUGAAGUCAGCCUGUCUCUCCCUGCAGGGCUCGCUCCGGGCGAUGUCAGCCUGUCUCUCUCUCCUCUCACUGCAGUGGUGUUAGGAUGACAAAAGAAAGCAGACAUCUGCAACUGAUGGGGAAUUUAAACCACAUGUGGGAGUUGUCUCACAUCCCCGAUGCAUUUUAUAAGAAAACAACAACAAAAGAACAAAGCAGCCCGCCUGUUUCACGUCUCUGCAUUUCCACACGCACACCCAGAAAUAGUGCUCAAUCGAAAACCAGAAGAAUGGCUGUUCCAUCAACGCCCGAAGGGCAUCAUUGAACAAUAAGUGUGGCCCAGAAGCCAUGUCUUUUCCUCUUUCAGUAGGGAGGGGCAGUUCUGAGGUGCAGGGUGCCAACAUGGGCGGCAGCUCUGCAGGACUGGAGCAGUGAGGAGUCGUGCAAGAAUCCGUUGGCACUGAGGCCUGAAGCGAGCAAGGCUGCGAGGAACCUGCGCCAGCCAGUUCGAUCUCCCGAGCGCAGUGGCAGGGGGGCGCCGGGGCCUCGCGCCCGUGUGAGCUGCCCGCUGGCCCGGCUGCCCGCUGGCCCCUUCCACUCAACCGGCUGGAGCCGCGACGCCGCAGGGAAACCGGACACGCUCUCGGGGCCGCCUUUAAUGCCUCUCGGUUCGCUCAUCAGAGCGCACGGGGAAGUCCCUCAGCACGAACCCGAAAACGUGGAAGUGCAGAGAUGAGAAAGCGCUGGCAUCUGCACCAGUUCGCACGGGCACAGGCCCCGCGGGUGCCGAGUCGGAGGGAUUGUCCCCUUUCUGAGCGCUGCUGCUGACGCCGCCCUGUGCCGAGGGGGGGACGGAGGACAGACAGAAGAGCUCAGGGCCUCCUCUGGCCUGCUGGGCUUGUGGCGGGCCGGACCGCCGUGCGCCGGCCCCUCCUGCGGUAUCGGAGGCUGAUCUGGUCUCCCUGGGCUCGUGAGGAAGGCCCUCUGCUCGUUUCCAGUUGUGAGCCCACUUCGGCUCACUUGUUUUGUUAAGCCUCAGGCUUGGGGCGAGAUUAGAAUAGCCUUAAAAGAUUCGGGAUGCGGGCGGGCGUCCUGGCGCAGUUGUUAGCGUCAGUCCUGGACCCGGGGUGCUUUCUGUGUGGAGCUUGCAUGGUCUCCCCAUGUGCGUGUGGAUGUCCUCCGGGCACUCCGGUUUCCUCCCGCACUCCAGAGACAUGCUGACGCGUCCACGGGAUCACUCGGACAGGGCGAUUUCUGUGAUAGUUUUCCACGCGUGAGGAGGUUGGCGAGAAUCUUGCCGGCGCGUGUUUUAUUGACGCAGCCGGAGCGAGGCUGCAGACUGCGCUACCAGGCGCUGUCUGGAAGAGGAGUUUCUGCUUAAGAAGGGUUUUUUAACGUUUGAGAGAAACAAGUCGUGAGAAGAGAGUGGCGAGGGAACAGGGGCUGUACCAGCCGAGCAAGGGGAAACGCAUCCUGUCGCGCCGACAGGAGGAGGGAGAGCGGAGUGAGGGGGAGAGUUUGAUCAUGCAACCAGCUCAGUAGCGCUGGCUUUUACGGCCUUCUGCUCUGGAGCAACAGACUGGAGUGCGCCAUCUCUUAUAUUAAACUUCACUGUCCCAAAUAGAGAUAUUUCUAAAAACGUAUAUUGCAGCAUUUUCAACAGUUUUUAAAAAAUAAAAUGAUUAACAGGAUAAGGUUCAAUUUAAUUCAGACGUGUACUCCUCUCCGGAUAUGCAGUGUUCCCGUGGGGAGCAUACGAUCGGUUGUAAUAUUUGCAGAUGUUUGCAUCUUUCUGAAAUUUACUUUUAAAGCACAGUUGUUAAAUGUGCCCCGUGAGCGUCAGUUUGUCACGAGUAAGAGACGCGAAGCAAACAUUGGGCUUUUAAUUUGUUGGACAAAUAAAAUGAUUUUAUUUGAAAUGAAGAAAAAAGACACGAAGCCCUGCUCUCCGCCCAGUUUGGGUUUGUGUGUGUUUUCCGUGCCGCGCGCCGGUCGGGGUUCGGCGGCCGAGACGACCGGCGCGUGAUCCGCCGUCUGCAUCCGAGAAGACGCACGAGCGGGCGUUGCUCGACCUGUAAUGCAACUGCAAAAGUCUUUAAAGUCUUUCUUUUGACUUUUGGGAAGUCUUUUUUUGUGAGUGUUGCACCUUUUCUCUCGAAACAAGAGUGAAUCAUAUACUGCCAAAGGGUGUUACAUGAAACGGCACGAUUAGCAAGAGAGAAAAAAACUGCAGCGAAUAUCGGUGAAUUAGGCACCUGACGUUAAUCAAUUUCAAUCUUCAGUGAUUCACCCUCUGUUGUACCUGAAUCAUCGUCGGUCUUGACUUUUCAUGCCUGCUGAUCUGGAGUUAAGUCCCCUAGCCGUCCUCUCCCGCCAAGCGUCCUGCUCUGUCAGACGCGCCCUCCCGAGGGAACCGGGGUACCCCGGCGGGAGCCCCACAGCCGCCCCUCGAGCUCGGCGGCCCCGUGGGGGGCUCCCAUGCGCGUGCCCCGAUGCCGCACCCCCCUCGCGCUCCAUCGUUCAGGAGAGGCAGGAGGCCGAGGUGGCCAUCCCGCUCUCUCACCCCCCUCCCGCCCAGAGACACCCCACAGCCCCCCCACAGCAGCUAAAGGGAGCGCUAUCGCACGCGGGGCCUCGACAGCGAACUGCAGCAGGGCUCGAGUGGCGCCGCGGCGCGAGACGCGGACAGGCCGGUGGGCCUGGCACGCGGUGCAGGGCCUGACGCAGGCGGUCGGGCCGGUGGGGGGGCAGCUGUGUGGACCGGCAGGGCCGCCCGACACCGCCUGGCACCGGCCCCCGCAUGAGCGCGGAGUCCCUUUCUGAUCCGGUACAAUUCUGUCCGGUACACCCAGUCAUCUGAGACCGGGGGUAAGGGCGAGACGGUUAUAAAUAGUUGGUUUUGUGUUUUUUUCUUCUACUGUUUUUACAAAGCCUUCCGUUUGUUUUGACUAACUGAUACCAAAGAUACCACAGUUUCUUUUUUUGGUGUGUACCUUCGAAAGGCCACACUGUAUCUUACUGUACUACAAGAGCUGGUGAUUUCACCGGGAAAAGUCCCCAGCGCUGCAUCACGGACUCCGAAAAGGUUAGUGCGGUAGAGCACCGCCGUGCGGCCCCGGCGCUGGCCGGCGGCGCCUCCGUGUCGAAGCGUGUCUAGUUCACCCCGAGCAACUGCUUUUCAAACCGCUCUCCCCACCUCGGGCCUCGCCAAGAGUCUUGUCGCGCUGGCGUUAAUGAACCGGUUCGUGUAGAACAGACUGGCUAUACAGGGUCAUCGCUGUAAAAUAAAGAUUAAAACUCUUGUUGCGAUUUCUGUACAGCUCGGCUUCAGAGCUGAAAACCGGCCAGGGAAUUCGCUUUGAAGAGUCUAGUGUGGGCACGUCGCACAUGUACUGUAGGUAUCUGCUUAUAUACAGCAGAUAUGAAUCUGUAUUUCUGUGUCUGCAAGUGUGUGUGUGUGUGCUGAGACAGCAUGAACAGUGGACAUGUGCACUUACACAUGAACACAAGUAAAAUUCUCCUUUUCCUGUUUUCUGUUUCACCGAAACGACCUGUAUGUCUUUAUUUAGAAGUGACUAACGGUUGUCUAUGCAUUCACUUAAAGGUAAUUACUGUAAGUCAAGUAUCAAGCCUCGUGGGUCAAUGGCAUCGCCACAGAAUAAUUUGUAAUAACAUGAAAAACUAGGUCCGUUUGUGUGAUGGUUGGAGCUGUGUCAGUAACGCGACUGGUUCUGGUGGUUAUCCUAAUUCCAUUGCAGCUACUACUGGAUCACAAUGACGUGCCAAGACGUCCAUUUCUACUCGAAUGAAAAUGUGACUUAGUUCCUGCUCGAUGAGGUGGGUAGUUCUCAGAGUCUGAUCUACAGCAAGUGUGAAGCCAGUAAGGGCUGAACGCAGCAGAACGAUCGCUUCUUCAAAAUGGAGCUUUUCCAGAUGGUGGCCAAUCUGUUUUUCAGAGGGGGUUACUUGUAGAUAUAGUACAAUUUCUCCUUAUCCCUAAAUAUUUAACCAGGGAUUUCCCCAAAGCCCAAUAUUUCAACACAUGCUUGAAAUGCCCGUCUAGAUCUUUAGGGUUUUUGUGACACACCCUGCUGUAGAUCAGAUACGAACCUCUCACCGCGUAAAAUAGCCACAAUGGAGUAAAAAGCCCAGAGACUCGAAAUGUCGAUGACAAAGACUGAAAAAAGAUCUUGUGUGUGAUGAACUACUGUCAGAAAGUCCUCAGCUCACAAGCUGACAUUUCCUAACUGGGAGAAAGCUGGGUGAACUAACGCAUCGCCAGUGAUGUGAGGCGCAGGGCCCUGCACGCUCACCCCAAACUCUCCGCAGACUGGUGUCCUACUGGACACAGCCCGGGACAGAGACGGAGACCCAGUCCGGUACUUCAAGAUCACGCCAUACAGUGCAGGUGUGCCACAGGGACGAGCGAGUAGAGUCCUGCGCUGCAUCUUUGUCUUCAUGCAGGCGUGCGGGGGGGCGAGUGCACCCCUCCCUGUCCCUCCUCAGCUGUGAAGGCUGUGUGCUUCUCUUCGCUAGGGCUUGCACUGCGCCUGUGGAGGCGGGAGAUCGUCCCUGCUCCUGGCCAAGCGAUCGACCUGCGCAGACUGACCGGCCCUCUCUCCUUUCUAACCCGCUGUCCCGCAAGGCGAGUCGGCUCUGCUGAGCACCUGACGCGGCCGUGUGAUCGGGGUCACGCAGGGCUGGCAGAACCAGGCCCGGCUGCGGCGCGCGAGGGCCUGCGGUCAGUCGCCGGGGGGCUGUGGUGGGAGAUCUCUACAGCCAGCUUUCACGGCUCGCCGCAGGUCCCUUCCUCCGGCUAGCGGGCUCUCCAGAACCGGGCCGCCGCCUGUGUCUCGCUGCGCCGCGGUGACGAGAGCCUCUGAUUCCUGCGAACACGAGCGCGGCUGUUCUUGUCAUUUCACGCUAAUAAAACGCACACGGAGGAAAAAAAAAUUGGUGUUUAUCAGGUUUUUUGAAAAAGGAAAUCAAGAAGCUUAACCCAAACACUUCCUGGAGCGAGGCAAAGGGGCGCUUUUUUGAAAAUGUUUUUCUUCACACAACGGUAGCAGAUUGACCUUUGUCAACCACAAAAAGAACAGAUUGGAGUGUUUUUUGCUAAAAAUAAUGCUCGAAGCUGACAUGCCAUGUACCAAGAAAGACACAGGCGGUGUCCUAGCCCGAGCACACCCGCGUCAUCUCGCGCGGCCGCGGACUUUCCCGCGCGUAAUGGUUUUUUUCAGAUUCCCCAUGCGGGGCGGAUGGCGUCCGGGCCCCGGGGGGCACCAUGGCUGCCGCCACGCGCUCCGCGCCGGCAGAGGUUCCGGAAGUCGCCGCACGCGAUUCCGUCUCCCGCCCCGCUGUGCCCUGGGCGCCCUCCUCGCCGCAG